This is a long non-coding RNA of Myotis davidii, 612 nucleotides long. RefSeq lists it as uncharacterized. The transcript is spliced from 4 exons. NCBI's taxonomy places the organism in Eukaryota, Metazoa, Chordata, Mammalia, Chiroptera, Vespertilionidae. The record is from RefSeq and is a predicted model, not a curated record.
GCCGGGCGGCUUGCAGGUGCGCCCUCGGGGCGUGGGAAGGCGUGUGCCACUAGAAGAUACUUUGCCGUACUGCUGUGCAACUUCAGUGAUGCAUCAUCCAGUCCGUUGACACCAGCCCCAGAAGGAAGAUUUCGUGCCCUGUGUUACGGCAUUUCGUCCUGAGAGGAAGAAGCAAGGCAGUGCAGGUGGGAGAAUGUGCGGGCCAUGCUGGUCUGAGCUUCAGUUCCGACUCCAGGGAGCUCAGCAGAGGCAGCGGCAGUCCAGGAGCCCUGGAUAAAGUCAUCUGCUAACCAUAGCAAAUGGCCAGUUUGUAUGUAUUAACAUACAUGACGUCUUGAUUUUUCUUUGGCAGGAUCUUCUCUGACAUCUGCAAGCAAAGCCACAGAGUCCAGGGGAGACAACAGCCUUGGGAACACCUUACCAACGAGGUGGAAGCCAGUGGGUAAAAGUCUGCAUCUUUCAGGCGGUCUGUUCUGGGAGGCAUUCUGUAAGCUUCUCCGAGGUUCUGGCAGAAGCGAGACCCUCAGUAACUCACUCUACAUUGACCUUUCCUUUCCCUCGCUUCACGCCCCUUUCCUCAGCUUACUUCCCAAAUAAACAACCUGCACCCCA